This 301-nucleotide ribosomal RNA is filed under the name uncultured bacterium. RNAcentral's name for it is "partial 16S ribosomal RNA". It matches the Rfam family "Bacterial small subunit ribosomal RNA", at positions 509 to 807 of the family's 1533-position model. The record is from RNAcentral.
CAGUCGCCGCGGGAAUACGAAGGGGGCUAGCGUUGUUCGGAAUUACUGGGCGUAAAGCGCACGUAGGCGGACAUUUAAGUCAGGGGUGAAAUCCCGGGGCUCAACCCCGGAACUGCCUUUGAUACUGGGUGUCUUGAGUGUGGAAGAGGUCAGUGGAAUUGCGAGUGUAGAGGUGAAAUUCGUAGAUAUUCGCAGGAACACCAGUGGCGAAGGCGGCUGACUGGUCCACAACUGACGCUGAGGUGCGAAAGCGUGGGGAGCAAACAGGAUUAGAUACCCCGGUAGUCCCUGUCUCUUAUAC